AAAAAGAUAAGCUAACUAAGCUAUUGGGUUCAUACCCCACUUAUAAAAAUAUAAAUUUUUUUCUUUUUA
RNAcentral lists this transfer RNA (69 nucleotides) under Orientabia sinica. RNAcentral's name for it is "tRNA-Met". The record is from RNAcentral. Lineage: Eukaryota; Metazoa; Arthropoda; Insecta; Hymenoptera; Cimbicidae.